UUGGUUUGAGAUGAGUGGACCCG
RNAcentral lists this microRNA (23 nucleotides) under Triops cancriformis. Its description in RNAcentral is "tcf-miR-10298a". Lineage: Eukaryota; Metazoa; Arthropoda; Branchiopoda; Notostraca; Triopsidae. The record is from miRBase by way of RNAcentral.